UAGGGAAUCUUCCACAAUGGGCGCAAGCCUGAUGGAGCAACACCGCGUGAGUGAAGAAGGGUUUCGGCUCGUAAAACUCUGUUGUUAAAGAAGAACGUAUCUAAGAGUAACUGCUUAGGUAGUGACGGUAUUUAACCAGAAAGCCACGGCUAACUACGUGCCAGCAGCCGCGGUAAUACGUAGGUGGCAAGCGUUAUCCGGAUUUAUUGGGCGUAAAGCGAGCGCAGGCGGUUUUUUAAGUCUGAUGUGAAAGCCUUCGGCUUAACCGAAGAAGUGCAUCGGAAACUGGGAAACUUGAGUGCAGAAGAGGACAGUGGAACUCCAUGUGUAGCGGUGAAAUGCGUAGAUAUAUGGAAGAACACCAGUGGCGAAGGCGGCUGUCUGGUCUGUAACUGACGCUGAGGCUCGAAAGCAUGGGUAGCGAACAGG
Molecule: ribosomal RNA, 429 nt
Filed under: uncultured bacterium
Lineage: Bacteria
Description: bacterial SSU rRNA
Rfam family: Bacterial small subunit ribosomal RNA
Source: RNAcentral